RNAcentral lists this ribosomal RNA (468 nucleotides) under uncultured bacterium. RNAcentral's name for it is "partial 16S ribosomal RNA". It matches the Rfam family "Bacterial small subunit ribosomal RNA", at positions 28 to 507 of the family's 1533-position model. The record is from RNAcentral.
GACGAACGCUGGCGGCGUGCUUAACACAUGCAAGUCGAACGGAAAGGCCCUGCUUUUGUGGGGUGCUCGAGUGGCGAACGGGUGAGUAACACGUGAGUAACCUGCCCUUGACUUUGGGAUAACUUCAGGAAACUGGGGCUAAUACCGGAUAGGAGCUCCUGCUGCAUGGUGGGGGUUGGAAAGUUUCGGCGGUUGGGGAUGGACUCGCGGCUUAUCAGCUUGUUUGUGGGGUAGUGGCUUACCAAGGCUUUGACGGGUAGCCGGCCUGAGAGGGUGACCGGCCACAUUGGGACUGAGAUACGGCCCAGACUCCUACGGGAGGCAGCAGUGGGGAAUAUUGCACAAUGGGCGGAAGCCUGAUGCAGAAACGCCGCGUGCGGGAUGACGGCCUUCGGGUUGUAAACCGCUUUCGCAUGUGACGAAGCGUGAGUGACGGUAAUGGGUAAAGAAGCACCGGCUAACUACGUG